CGCCUUAGAGUUUGAUCCUGGCUCAGGACGAACGCUGGCGGCGUGCCUAACACAUGCAAGUCGAACGGUUCUCGAGGUUCGACAUUCGAGGUUCGAAGUUCGAGUGAACGCAAGCCUUUGGGGUCCUUGACCCGAAAGGAAUGCUUGAAUCGAACCACGAAUUUCGAACGUCGAACUUCGAGGAUAGUGGCGGACGGGUGAGUAACGCGUGGAUAACCUGCCUGGUAGACCGGGAUAACAGCUGGAAACGGCUGCUAAUACCGGAUACGCUCGGGAGUUCGCAUGAACACUCGAGGAAAGCUUUCGUGCUAUCAGAUGGGUCCGCGUCCCAUUAGCUAGUUGGUGGUGUAAAGGACCACCAAGGCGACGAUGGGUAGCCGGCCUGAGAGGGCGACCGGCCACACUGGGACUGAGACACGGCCCAGACUCCUACGGGAGGCAGCAGUGGGGAAUCUUCCGCAAUGGGCGAAAGCCUGACGGAGCAACGCCGCGUGAGGGAAGAAGGCCUUCGGGUUGUAAACCUCUGUUUUUAGGGACGAAGAGAUGACGGUACCUAAAGAGUAAGCUCCGGCUAACUACGUGCCAGCAGCCGCGGUAAUACGUAGGGAGCGAGCGUUGUCCGGAAUUACUGGGCGUAAAGGGCGCGUAGGUGGUCCAUUAAGUUACUGGUGAAAGUUCGGGGCUUAACCCCGUGAUUGCCUGUAAUACUGGUGGACUUGAGUGCAGGAGAGGGGAGUGGAAUUCCCAGUGUAGCGGUGAAAUGCGUAGAUAUUGGGAGGAACACCAGUGGCGAAGGCGGCUCUCUGGACUGUAACUGACACUGAGGCGCGAAAGCGUGGGGAGCAAACAGGAUUAGAUACCCUGGUAGUCCACGCCGUAAACGAUGAGUGCUAGGUGUUGCGGGUAUCGACCCCUGCAGUGCCGUAGUUAACACAAUAAGCACUCCGCCUGG
RNAcentral lists this ribosomal RNA (952 nucleotides) under bacterium enrichment culture clone 080212-ABM-Ikosorb 3-28. RNAcentral describes it as "bacterial SSU rRNA". It matches the Rfam family "Bacterial small subunit ribosomal RNA", at positions 1 to 876 of the family's 1533-position model. The record is from RNAcentral.